This 375-nucleotide unclassified non-coding RNA is filed under the name uncultured Caryophanales bacterium. RNAcentral's name for it is "uncultured Bacillales bacterium contains 16S-23S intergenic spacer region". The record is from RNAcentral. Lineage: Bacteria; Bacillati; Bacillota; Bacilli; Caryophanales.
UCCGGUUUGUCACCGGCAGUCACCUUAGAGUGCCCAACUGAAUGCUGGCAACUAAGAUUAAGGGUUGCGCUCGUUGCGGGACUUAACCCAACAUCUCACGACACGAGCUGACGACAACCAUGCACCACCUGUCACCGCUGUCCCCGAAGGGAAAGCUAUGUCUCCAUAGCGGUCAGCGGGAUGUCAAGACCUGGUAAGGUUCUUCGCGUUGCUUCGAAUUAAACCACAUGCUCCACCGCUUGUGCGGGUCCCCGUCAAUUCUUUUGAGUUUCAUUCUUGCGAACGUACUCCCCAGGUGGAUCACUUAAUGCUUUCGCUUGGGCGCUGACUGUGUAUCGCCAGCACCGAGUGAUCAUCGUUUACGGCGUGGACUAC